UCCAUAUACCUCAUGCAUUGUGGGUUAAAA
RNAcentral lists this non-coding RNA (30 nucleotides) under Mus musculus (house mouse). Lineage: Eukaryota; Metazoa; Chordata; Mammalia; Rodentia; Muridae. The record is from RNAcentral.